RNAcentral lists this ribosomal RNA (1472 nucleotides) under uncultured cyanobacterium. RNAcentral's name for it is "bacterial SSU rRNA". It matches the Rfam family "Bacterial small subunit ribosomal RNA". The record is from RNAcentral. Lineage: Bacteria; Bacillati; Cyanobacteriota.
AGGGUUUGAUUAUGGCUCAGGAUGAACGCUGGCGGCAUGCUUUACACAUGCAAGUUGAACGAAUUAAAGUUUUCUAAUUUUAGUUAAGUAGCGAGCGGGUGAGUAAAACGUAAGAAUCUAUUUUUAGGUGAGGAAUAACUAAUGGAAACGUUAGCUAAUACCUUAUAAACUGAGAAGUGAAAAACUAAAAAUUGCCUAAAAGUGAGCUUGCGCCUGAUUAGCUUGGUGAGCAAAGGAUAAUUCGCUUACCAAAGGCGACGAUCAGUAUGUUGAUCUAAGAGGGUAAUCAACCACACUGGGACUGAGAUACAGCCCAGACCUCUACGGAGGGCAGCAGUGAGGAAUUUUCCGCAAUGAGCCGAAAGCCUGACGAAGCAAUGCCGCGUGAAGGAUGAAGGCCUAUAGGUCGUAAACUUCUUUUCUUAAUGAAGAAAUAAGACGGUAAUUAAGGAAUAAGCAUCGGCUAACUCCGUGCCAGCAGCCGCGGUAAUACGGAGGAUGCAAGCGUUAUCCCGAAAUAUUGGGGCGUAAAGGGUCUGUAGGCUACUUUUUAAGUCUACUGUUAAAGAAUAAGACUUAACCUUAGAAAAGCAGUAUGAAACUAAAAGGAUAGAGUUCAGUAGGGGUAGAGGGAAUUCUCGGUGUAGUAGUGAAAUGCGUAGAUAUCGAGAGGAACACCAAUGGGCGAAAGCACUCUACUAGGCUGUAACUGACGCUAAGAAGCGAAAGCUAGGGGAGCCAAUGGGAUUAGAUACCCCCAGUAGUCCUAGCUGUAAACGAUGGAUACUAAGUAUUGGGAUAAUAAAAAAUUCAGUGCUGUAGCUAACGCGUUAAGUAUCCCGCCUGGGGGAGUAUGCCCCGCAAGGGUGAAACUCAAAGAAAUUGACGGGGGCCCGCACAAGCGGUGGAGCAUGGGGGUUAAAUCGAUGCAACGCGAAAAACCUUACCAGGAUUUGACCAUCCCAUAUUUUUUUUCUAUGGAAAUAGGAAAAAUUUGACGUGGAGACCAGGUGGUGCAUGGCUGUCGUCACCUCGUGUCGUGAGAUGUUGGGUUAAGUCCCGUAACCGAGCGCAACCCCUUGUCUCUAGUUCCGAUAGGCUUAAAGAAACUGCGCUGAUAAUAAAUCGGAGGAAGGGGAGAGAUGACGUCAAGUCACGCAUGCCCCUUAAAUUUCGGGGCGACAACCACGUGCUACAAUGGGGUUAAGACAAUGGGAUGCAAACUUGUAAAAGGAAGCUAACCUCAAAAACUUAAUCGAAGUUCGGAUUGUCGACUGAAACUCGUCGACAUGAAGCUGGAAUCGCUAGUAAUCGCCGGUCAGCCACACGGCGGUGAAUACGUUCUCGGGCCUUGUACACACCGCCCGUCACGCUAGGGAAGCUGAUUACGCCCGAAGUCAUUAAUUUAACCUUUUGGAGAAAAAUGCCGAAGGCAGAGUGAGUAACUAGAACGAAGUCGUAACAAGGUAACC